This is a non-coding RNA of Camelina sativa (false flax), 311 nucleotides long. NCBI's taxonomy places the organism in Eukaryota, Viridiplantae, Streptophyta, Magnoliopsida, Brassicales, Brassicaceae. The record is from RefSeq and is a predicted model, not a curated record.
AUUAUGAGGCAAAUGUCAGUAUAAACUUGAAAUUUCAUCAGCCUUGUCCGACUUCUUCUUUGUUCGUGAUUCAGAGGUCUUUGUCGCCUUUUGCUUCUGAAAAAUAAAAGUCACACUGGUUUUAGGGAUUGUUUCGGCGUUGUCGCACUUCUAAUUUGUUGAAAUAAGCAUGCCGAGGAACGCGAUUUCUGACGAUGAAGAUGAUCAUGAGCUCGAGGAUGAGGACGGAGAGCCAGUUCUGGGAGAUGAACACGGUGAUAACGAUGAUGAAGAAGAUGAUGAUGAUGACGGUACACGUUUUGCCCUUGAUU